GUCCAGGGUAGCCUAGUGGACAUGGCAUCUGCACGGUAAGUGGAACAACGUGGGUUCGAUUCCAUCCCUGGACA
RNAcentral lists this transfer RNA (74 nucleotides) under Cordylochernes scorpioides. Its description in RNAcentral is "tRNA-Thr". It matches the Rfam family "tRNA". From Rfam's summary of the family: Transfer RNA (tRNA) molecules are approximately 80 nucleotides in length. Their secondary structure includes four short double-helical elements and three loops (D, anti-codon, and T loops). Further hydrogen bonds mediate the characteristic L-shaped molecular structure. tRNAs have two regions of fundamental functional importance: the anti-codon, which is responsible for specific mRNA codon recognition, and the 3' end, to which the tRNAs corresponding amino acid is attached (by aminoacyl-tRNA synthetases). tRNAs cope with the degeneracy of the genetic code in two manners: having more than one tRNA (with a specific anti-codon) for a particular amino acid; and 'wobble' base-pairing, i.e. permitting non-standard base-pairing at the 3rd anti-codon position. The record is from RNAcentral. Lineage: Eukaryota; Metazoa; Arthropoda; Arachnida; Pseudoscorpiones; Chernetidae.